This 65-nucleotide transfer RNA is filed under the name Pycnogonum diceros. RNAcentral's name for it is "tRNA-Glu". Lineage: Eukaryota; Metazoa; Arthropoda; Pycnogonida; Pantopoda; Pycnogonidae. The record is from RNAcentral.
AUUUUUAUGGUGUAUACCAACACAUAAUUUUUUCAAAAUUAAAAAGAAUCAAUAUUCUAAAAAUG